AUUGAACGCUGGCGGCAGGCCUAACACAUGCAAGUCGAGCGGAUGAAGGGAGCUUGCUCCUGGAUUCAGCGGCGGACGGGUGCGUAAUGCCUAGGAAUCUGCCUGGGAGUGGGGGAUAACGUCCGGAAACGGGCGCUAAUACCGCAUACGCACUGAGGGAGAAAGUGGGGGAUCUUCAGACCUCACGCUAUCAGAUGAGCCUAGGUCGGAUUAGCUAGUUGGUGGGGUAAAGGCCUACCCAGGCGACGAUCCGUAACUGGUCUGAGAGGAUGAUCAGUCACACUGGAACUGAGACACAGUCCAGACUCCUACGGGAGGCAGCAGUGGGGAAUAUUGGACAAUGGGCGCAAGCCUGAUCCAGCCAUGCCGCGUGUGUGAAGAAGGUCUUCGGAUUGUAAAGCACUUUAAGUUGGGAGGAAGGGCAGUAAGUUAAUACCUUGCUGUUUUGACGUUACCAACAGAAUAAGCACCGGCUAACUUCGUG
RNAcentral lists this ribosomal RNA (484 nucleotides) under uncultured bacterium. RNAcentral's name for it is "partial 16S ribosomal RNA". It matches the Rfam family "Bacterial small subunit ribosomal RNA", at positions 30 to 507 of the family's 1533-position model. The record is from RNAcentral.